This 1809-nucleotide long non-coding RNA is filed under the name Paramuricea clavata. The record is from RNAcentral. Lineage: Eukaryota; Metazoa; Cnidaria; Anthozoa; Malacalcyonacea; Plexauridae.
CGUUCUCAAUAAACCCCGCACAAAAUAUUACUCAUUAGUAUAAAUCUCCUUUUAAACUACUCGAAUAAUUACGUCAUUUUAAUGACUGCGUAUCCCCGUAUCAUUGAAAAAUAAUAGUUACCCAUUCUCCUGUUAAACUACUCAAAUAAUUACGUCAUUUUAAUGACUGCGUAUCCCCGUAUCCCCGCAUCAUUGAAAAAUAAUAGUUACCCAUUCUCCUCUUAAACUACUCCAAUAAUUACGUCAUUUUAAUGACUGCGUAUCCCAGUAUCCCCGUAUCAUUGAAAAAUAAUAGUUACCCAUUCUCCUCUUAAACUACUCCAAUAAUUACGUCAUUUUAAUGACUGCGUAUCCCCGUAUCCCCGUAUCAUUGAAAAAUAAUAGUUACCCAUUCUCCUCUUAAACUACUCGAAUAAUUACGUCUUUUUAAUGACUGCGUAUCCCCGUAUCCCCGUAUCAUUGAAAAAUAAUAGUUACCCAUUCUCCUCUUGAACUACUCGAAUAAUUACGUCAUUUUAAUGACUGCGUAUCCCCGUAUCCUCGUAUCAUUGAAAAAUAAUAGUUACCCAUUCUCCUCUUAAACUACUCCAAUAAUUACGUCAUUUUAAUGACUGCGUAUCCCCGUAUCCCCGUAUCAUUGAAAAAUAAUAGUUACCCAUUCUCCUCUUAAACUACUCCAAUAAUUACGUCAUUUUAAUGACUGCGUAUCCCCGUAUCCUCGUAUCAUUGAAAAAUAAUAGUUACCCAUUCUCCUCUUAAACUAAUCCAAUAAUUACGUCAUUUUAAUGACUGCGUAUCCCCGUAUCCCCGUAUCAUUGAAAAAUAAUAGUUACCCAUUCUCCUCUUAAACUACUCCAAUAAUUACGUCAUUUUAAUGACUGCGUAUCCCCGUAUCCUCGUAUCAUUGAAAAAUAAUAGUUACCCAUUCUCCUCUUAAACUACUCCAAUAAUUACGUCAUUUUAAUGACUGCGUAUCCCCGUAUCAUUGAAAAAUAAUAGUUACCCAUUCUCCUCUUAAACUACUCGAAUAAUUACGUCAUUUUAAUGACUGCGUAUCCCCGUAUCCCCCAAAAGCAAACACUAUCAAAAUUCAAAAGUGGCCGGGUAUUCUAUAAUCGCUCCNNNNNNNNNNNNNNNNNNNNCGAUUUGACCCCUAAACCCGCAAAAAAAUAUUACUCAUAUAUUGUAGUUCUCGUUCUCAAUAAACCCCGCACAAAAUAUUACUCGUAUAUUGUAUUUCUCGUUCUCAAUAAACCCCGCACAAAAUAUUACUCAUAUAUUGUAGUUCUCGUUCUCAAUAAACCCCGCACAAAAUAUUACUCAUAUAUUGUAUUUCUCGUUCUCAAUAAACCCCGCACAAAAUAUUACUUAUAUAUUGUAGUUCUCGUUCUCAAUAAACCCCGCACAAAAUAUUACUCAGAUAUUGUAUUUCUCGUUCUCAAUAAACCCCGCACAAAAUAUUACUCAUAAAAAUAUUACUCAUAUAUUGUAUUUCUCGUUCUCAAUAAACCCCGCACAAAAUAUUACUCAUAUAUUGUAUUUCUCGUUCUCAAUACUACUCGAAUAAUUACGUCAUUUUAAUGACUGCGUAUCCCCGUAUCAUUGAAAUAUAAUAGUUACCACUUCUCCUUUUAAACUACUGUACUCGAAUAAUUAUACGUCGUUUUAAUGACUGCGUAUCACCCCGCACAAAAUAUUACUCAUAUAUUGUAUUUCUCGUUCUCAAUACUACUCGAAUAAUUACGUCAUUUUAAUGACUGCGUAUCCCCGUAUCAUUGAAAUAUAAUAGUUACCACUUCUCCUUUUAAA